AUUGAACGCUGGCGGCAGGCUUAACACAUGCAAGUCGAGCGGGGUGAUGGUGCUUGCACUAUCACUUAGCGGCGGACGGGUGAGUAAUGCUUAGGAAUCUGCCUAUUAGUGGGGGACAACAUCUCGAAAGGGAUGCUAAUACCGCAUACGUCCUACGGGAGGAAGCAGGGGAUCACUUGUGACCUUGCGCUAAUAGAUGAGCCUAAGUCGGAUUAGCUAGUUGGUGGGGUAAAGGCCUACCAAGGCGACGAUCUGUAGCGGGUCUGAGAGGAUGAUCCGCCAGACUGGGACUGAGACACGGCCCAGACUCCGACGAGAGGCAGCAGUGGGGAAUAUUGGACAAUGGGGGGAACCCUGAUCCAGCCAUGCCGCGUGUGAAGAAGGCCUUAUGGUUGUAAAGCACUUUAAGCGAGGAGGAGGCUCUUUUGGUUAAUACCCAAGAUGAGUGGACGUUACUCGCAGAAUAAGCACCGGCUAACUCUGUGCCAGCAGCAGCCGCAG
This 501-nucleotide ribosomal RNA is filed under the name uncultured bacterium. Its description in RNAcentral is "partial 16S ribosomal RNA". It matches the Rfam family "Bacterial small subunit ribosomal RNA", at positions 30 to 523 of the family's 1533-position model. The record is from RNAcentral.